This 491-nucleotide ribosomal RNA is filed under the name uncultured bacterium. Its description in RNAcentral is "partial 16S ribosomal RNA". It matches the Rfam family "Bacterial small subunit ribosomal RNA", at positions 29 to 506 of the family's 1533-position model. The record is from RNAcentral.
AGUGAACGCUGGCGGUAGGCCUAACACAUGCAAGUCGAACGGCAGCACAGUAAGAGCUUGCUCUUACGGGUGGCGAGUGGCGGACGGGUGAGGAAUACAUCGGAAUCUACUUUUUCGUGGGGGAUAACGUAGGGAAACUUACGCUAAUACCGCAUACGACCUACGGGUGAAAGCAGGGGAUCUUCGGACCUUGCGCGAUUGAAUGAGCCGAUGUCGGAUUAGCUAGUUGGCGGGGUAAAGGCCCACCAAGGCGACGAUCCGUAGCUGGUCUGAGAGGAUGAUCAGCCACACUGGAACUGAGACACGGUCCAGACUCCUACGGGAGGCAGCAGUGGGGAAUAUUGGACAAUGGGCGCAAGCCUGAUCCAGCCAUACCGCGUGGGUGAAGAAGGCCUUCGGGUUGUAAAGCCCUUUUGUUGGGAAAGAAAAGCAGCAGGUUAAUACCCCGCUGUUCUGACGGGACCCAAAGAAUGAGCACCGGCUAACUGCGG